This 429-nucleotide ribosomal RNA is filed under the name Acidobacteriota bacterium. Its description in RNAcentral is "Acidobacteria bacterium partial 16S ribosomal RNA". It matches the Rfam family "Bacterial small subunit ribosomal RNA", at positions 355 to 776 of the family's 1533-position model. Lineage: Bacteria; Pseudomonadati; Acidobacteriota. The record is from RNAcentral.
UGGGGAAUUUUGGACAAUGGGGGAAACCCUGAUCCAGCCAUCCCGCGUGUGCGAUGAAGGCCUUCGGGUUGUAAAGCACUUUUGGCAGGAAAGAAACGUCAUGGGUUAAUACCCCGUGAAACUGACGGUACCUGCAGAAUAAGCACCGGCUAACUACGUGCCAGCAGCCGCGGUAAUACGUAGGGUGCAAGCGUUAAUCGGAAUUACUGGGCGUAAAGCGUGCGCAGGCGGUUCGGAAAGAAAGAUGUGAAAUCCCAGAGCUCAACUUUGGAACUGCAUUUUUAACUACCGGGCUAGAGUGUGUCAGAGGGAGGUGGAAUUCCGCGUGUAGCAGUGAAAUGCGUAGGUAUGCGGAGGAACACCGAUGGCGAAGGCAGCCUCCUGGAAUAACACUGACGCUCAUGCACGAAAGCGUGGGGAGCAAACAAG